GGUGAACGCUGGCGGUAGGCCUAACACAUGCAAGUCGAACGGCAGCACAGUAAGAGCUUGCUCUUACGGGUGGCGAGUGGCGGACGGGUGAGGAAUACAUCGGAAUCUACUUUUUCGUGGGGGAUAACGUAGGGAAACUUACGCUAAUACCGCAUACGACCUACGGGUGAAAGCAGGGGAUCUUCGGACCUUGCGCGAUUGAAUGAGCCGAUGUCGGAUUAGCUAGUUGGCGGGGUAAAGGCCCACCAAGGCGACGAUCCGUAGCUGGUCUGAGAGGAUGGUCAGCCACACUGGAACUGAGACACGGUCCAGACUCCUACGGGAGGCAGCAGUGGGGAAUAUUGGACAAUGGGCGCAAGCCUGAUCCAGCCAUACCGCGUGGGUGAAGAAGGCCUUCGGGUUGUAAAGCCCUUUUGUUGGGAAAGAAAAGCAGCAGGUUAAUACCCCGCUGUUCUGACGGUACCCAAAGAAUAAGCACCGGCUAACUUCGUG
This 492-nucleotide ribosomal RNA is filed under the name uncultured bacterium. RNAcentral's name for it is "partial 16S ribosomal RNA". It matches the Rfam family "Bacterial small subunit ribosomal RNA", at positions 28 to 507 of the family's 1533-position model. The record is from RNAcentral.